Molecule: transfer RNA, 93 nt
Rfam family: tRNA
About the family: Transfer RNA (tRNA) molecules are approximately 80 nucleotides in length. Their secondary structure includes four short double-helical elements and three loops (D, anti-codon, and T loops). Further hydrogen bonds mediate the characteristic L-shaped molecular structure. tRNAs have two regions of fundamental functional importance: the anti-codon, which is responsible for specific mRNA codon recognition, and the 3' end, to which the tRNAs corresponding amino acid is attached (by aminoacyl-tRNA synthetases). tRNAs cope with the degeneracy of the genetic code in two manners: having more than one tRNA (with a specific anti-codon) for a particular amino acid; and 'wobble' base-pairing, i.e. permitting non-standard base-pairing at the 3rd anti-codon position.
Source: Rfam
GGGCUAGUAGUGUAGGGGUUAUGGCACUCGCUUUGCAUUCUCGCACAGGUUUUCUAUUGAAAAAGAUCUCCGGUUCAAAUCCGGACUAGUCCA